AAGGCCUGUGAAGACACGGCAGAGGACUCAGUUGGCACUGUGCACACGUUGUAUACCAUGCCCAUUCCCACACUUUGAGGGCGUGGGAGUGUUUUUUGUUUUUGUUUUUGUUUUUCCCAUCAGGGCAUCACAAAGACUGGUUACAAAUGACAGUGACCAGCUGGAAAAGAAAACGGUACAGCUGUGUGGCUGCCCUGCAUCCACAGUACCUUCCUCCUGAAUAGUUUGUAACCUUGCUCCAAGACCCCUCCUUCUCUGCUUCCCUGAAUGCACUGCCCUUGUAUUACCUGCCUGCAUGGUGGCCCUUCUGACUUCCCUCCCUACCCACAAUUCAUCUGUGCUCACAAUACACUGGACUGAAUUUUUCCACAACAGACUGAGGAGCGAAUUAGUAGAAGAUCCACUGACAUACUGAUUCCAAGGCAGGAUUUCGAAGACUGUGAUGGGAAACCUGCAAGCGGAUCCUCAGAUCAACUGAACAGGUUGCAAAAAAGUCAGCGGAUGGAGUGAGUUUAAGUGAAUAAGAAAAUCUUCAGAGAGCAUCGUGGUUAGCCUGUGCACACUCUUUUCAUCCACAUGUGCGGAGACCAAGCUGGGAAAGAGAUGGGGGAACUGGACGGACAUUCCCAGACAGUGAAGCAGCACAGAUCAGCGCACCCCAUCAUAUAGCAUCUUGAAUUCAUAACAGACCAGAUGCCCAGCUCUGUCAGAGCGAACUGGGGUGUCAGGAACUUACUUACAUCCACUAGCCAGAAAAGGAGAGGUCAAUGGUUCCUUUGAUGGUAGGAGAUGAAAACAGUUCCCUGAGUCUCCAGUCACAAGCAGGCAGAGCCUGGAGACUUUAAGAAGCAGCGUGAAUAAUGGAAUCUGACAUAUUUUCUCAUGGAGAGGGGCAAGCCUUAACACCCACUUCUCAAGGACCCAAGCCAUAUAUUUACCCGCUAUAAAUAGCAAACCCAAGUAAACAUGGCAGACCAGAACUCCUACGACCCAGAGCGUCUGCUCACCCCAUCUCCACCACAGGCGUAGGGACAUGUACUUUUUAGUGCCGUCUCCAGAAUCCUCCUCACUGGGGUUCCAACAACCAACUCCUGAGACAGGCACCAACAGUGGGGUCCCUCCUGUUGUCCUCAGUACAUCCCAACCAGAACAAACAUGCCGGGAACCUGCUGUCUUAUACUGACCCAGACACAGUGUAUAUCGGGUUAUCUGUACCAAACUCGGCAUGAGAGUUCAAUAACAUCCCUCUUUCCAAUUCUCACGUCAAUCAUAACAUCAUCCCUCACAGAACUGACCUGAGGGUGUGAGCUUUUCAGUUGGGUUGUGCUGCCUCAGCUUGCUUUACAUAAAUCAUACGGAUGAGAAUAUCUAGAAAGAGCCCAUUAGAAACUUUCCAACUGCUAGCAAGCUGUAUGUUGGGUCAGGUAAAGUAUCAUGUUUGUGCAAAGUAAUGGCUUUACCUACAGCCUGUUCAAUAAUGCAUAAACUGAAAUACUUUGGCAUGGGAAAAAAAACAAGAACAAAGGAGGAAUAGAAAAUCCCAAAACAAAACACUGGCAAGAUGCUGUUUUCUGGGUCUUAGGAGCAAGAUUUUAACAUCGACAUUGAAGAUCUGUGCUCCGAGAAAAUUCUCAAUCUUCUGAAAUCUAUUAGCAUACGAGGAUGGUACUGGGUAGCAAAAUACUUACAGACUGUUUCCAGGGCCCUGCAUUUACUUCUCCCAACAGAAAAACACAGCUGUGGCAUUUACAAUUAAGAAAUCUUAGAGGUCCACCUGUGCAAUAACCUGCUACUACACAGUACCAUGGGCGACACAAAUUAAUCUCCUGAAGUUCUGGAAGUUGGAAGUCUAAAAUCACAGAGCUGGCAGACUGGGUGAGGUCCCACCUCCUGUCACACACAGCAGUAGAAUGGGGUCUCCUGGCUGUAUCCUCACCUGGUGGGAAGGGGGAAAGAGGUUCCCCUAAGCCCUCUUUAAAAAGAACACUCAGCCACCAUUUUUGAGGCCUCUCAAAGGACUCACACUUCCCAAGAGGUGGUGGUGAUGAGGGGGACGGGAUGAGGUUUCAACACACCAAGCUUGGGGCACAGCAGCCUGGCUGGCAUUUUUCAGCUCCUGUUGUGCUGAGUCCUGUCGUAUACUGCCAAGGAGACUCAGAGGCAAGUGCCCCUGUCCCUGAUAUCUCCUCCUUAGCACCUCUGAGCAGCUACAAUGCUGUUUCCUCUCCACAGGACCCUGGGCAGCAGGGAGAUCAACAAUACGCUCAGCAGUCGACACAGGGUUUUAGAGCCUCCGGAGGGCUGACUGGACUGGCUAAGUUGUCCCGGGCCAGGCAGCAGCCCUCCUUGGCACAAAGCUGCCCAAGGUGGGUAAGGUUUGCCAGCUACAGAAGGCAAUCAAGCUCCUAAUGAAGCCACCUCUCUAGAAACCCAGAGGCCACAGACUGUACCACAG
Molecule: non-coding RNA, 2455 nt
Organism: Peromyscus maniculatus bairdii (prairie deer mouse)
Lineage: Eukaryota; Metazoa; Chordata; Mammalia; Rodentia; Cricetidae
Source: RefSeq, a predicted model, not a curated record